This 403-nucleotide ribosomal RNA is filed under the name Ceratobasidium sp. GEL5602. RNAcentral's name for it is "LSU rRNA". It matches the Rfam family "Bacterial large subunit ribosomal RNA", at positions 1717 to 2102 of the family's 2925-position model. The record is from RNAcentral. Lineage: Eukaryota; Fungi; Basidiomycota; Agaricomycetes; Cantharellales; Ceratobasidiaceae.
GCAAAUUAUCCUCAUAAGUUUGGCAAUAAGAGGAGCCAUUUGACAAAUCCCGCGCGUUAUACAGCGUGGAGAUUUGUCCAAUGGUGUCACAGAAUCGGAGGCCACGACUGUUUAAUUAAAACACAGACAUCUGCUACGAUUAAUUUAUUUGUAUAGGUGUUGAAUUUUGCCCCAUGCCAUCAACAUAAGGUCUGCGAGUUAAAAUAUGCGGAUUGAAAGUCUGGUUAAUGGCGGUCUUAACUAUAAGGAUCCUAAGGUAGCGAAAUUUAUUGUCCGUUAAAUGCGGUCCCGCAUGAAUAAAGUAACGAUGGUCUCACUGUCUCUACAAGCAUCUCAGUGAAAUUGAAUUAGCCGUGCAGAUGCGGCUUACCUCCGGGUGGACGGGAAGACCCUAUGCAGCUUU